CGAUGAUAAAAUUUUUGGAUUUAAUAAAGCGCCGGUUACAUCAUCUAAGACUGUAAAGCACAAUUUAAUGUGGACACAUAAUCAUUGACUGUGACGUGUGACUUAUAAAGUGCUGUAGCGUUUACACAUUGUACGACUGUUAGGCGUCAGUAUGACUGGGUAAAACACAUACUACCCUUCUUUUAGGGGUUAAUAUAUCGGCACAUGCGCACUUUCGAAAUAUGUAUACGGAAAUGUAAAAGACAUCAGGAUAUUCUCAAGAGGCAUGAUCCAAUUUUACAUUUAGAUUACAUGAAAUGUAAUACACGUUGCCCAUUAUGAUUUUGCGUAUCUGCUACGUUUUGUAAUUACCAGCAGAUUACAUAAUAAUUAAUAAUCCAAUUACAAUCUAAAAUAUUACUUAAACGGAGGGUUCGUCUUAAUUUUUGGGUUACACCACUACAAACACCUUCAACCCGGCUCACAUUUUGAUGCAUGUGCAUGUAUAUUGAUGUAUAUCAAUAUUAAUAUCAUUAAGACAGCCUGUGAUAUACCGGUAGGUCAAGCCGGGUUGAACGUGUUAAAAUUACUAUUCCGCAUACUACAUUAUUAUUAAAAAUGUAGAGAUACAGUUGAGAUCAAUAUUAAGCCUUGUAAUUCCAUAAUUACUUUACACGGCUGUUAUGUAAGCCUUGGACCAUAAAAAUCGGCUGAUAAUGGCAGUCUCCCUAAUCAUCUCUGCGUGAUUUAUUAAUACUGAUUAAUACUAAUAGGUUAUGUUCAGCAGAAAUAGCGCUAAGAUAGUGAAUUAAAAUGAGCCGGUCGAACCCAAAGAAUAAUGAAGAACUACUAGUGAUUCCAAAUUAAGGGCUCUUGGCUUUAUCUCUAACAGGAGCCACUUCCGUAUGAGUGCACUCGUUUUCCACUGUAUUUGAUCAAUUGUCAUCUACAAUGAAUAUAAUCAAAUUCAAUAUAAUAUUUAAUUGUAAUAUAAAAUGCGUUUCACGUUUUAGCUGUAUAGUAUGUUAGUAAGUAGGUAAAUAUGUUGAGUAAGUAGUAUAUGUAUACAUAAAUCAAUUUGUACCAUUGUUAUAUGAAGUAUGUUUCAAUAACAACGGGUAAGUAGUGAGUGUCAAAAAUAAAUAUGUAAUACAUGUUA
Molecule: long non-coding RNA, 1138 nt
Organism: Cephus cinctus (wheat stem sawfly)
Lineage: Eukaryota; Metazoa; Arthropoda; Insecta; Hymenoptera; Cephidae
Exons: 2
Source: RefSeq, a predicted model, not a curated record